UACAGGCUGAUAGGAUAUUUCCCCACCGGU
Molecule: non-coding RNA, 30 nt
Filed under: Rattus norvegicus (Norway rat)
Lineage: Eukaryota; Metazoa; Chordata; Mammalia; Rodentia; Muridae
Source: RNAcentral